UACAGAGGGUGCGAGCGUUGUUCGGAAUUACUGGGCGUAAAGCGCGCGCAGGCGGCCUUUUAAGUCUGACGGUGAAAUGCCGGGGCUCAACCCCGUGCUCGCCGCGGAUACUGGGAGGCUGGAGACGAGUAGAGGCAAGCGGAAUUCCGGGUGUAGCGGUGGAAUGCGUAGAGAUCCGGAAGAACACCGGAGGCGAAGGCGGCUUGCUGGGCUCGGUCUGACGCUGAGGCGCGAAAGCGUGGGGAGCGAACAGG
Molecule: ribosomal RNA, 254 nt
Filed under: uncultured bacterium
Lineage: Bacteria
Description: partial 16S ribosomal RNA
Rfam family: Bacterial small subunit ribosomal RNA
Source: RNAcentral